Molecule: transfer RNA, 74 nt
Filed under: Chloroflexi bacterium OLB13
Lineage: Bacteria; Bacillati; Chloroflexota
Also listed under: 2 other names
Description: tRNA-Arg
Rfam family: tRNA
About the family: Transfer RNA (tRNA) molecules are approximately 80 nucleotides in length. Their secondary structure includes four short double-helical elements and three loops (D, anti-codon, and T loops). Further hydrogen bonds mediate the characteristic L-shaped molecular structure. tRNAs have two regions of fundamental functional importance: the anti-codon, which is responsible for specific mRNA codon recognition, and the 3' end, to which the tRNAs corresponding amino acid is attached (by aminoacyl-tRNA synthetases). tRNAs cope with the degeneracy of the genetic code in two manners: having more than one tRNA (with a specific anti-codon) for a particular amino acid; and 'wobble' base-pairing, i.e. permitting non-standard base-pairing at the 3rd anti-codon position.
Source: RNAcentral
GUGCCUGUAGCUCAGUGGAUAGAGCGCUUGUCUACGGAACAAGAAGUCGGGAGUUCGAAUCUCUCCAGGCACGC